This 365-nucleotide long non-coding RNA is filed under the name Androctonus crassicauda. Lineage: Eukaryota; Metazoa; Arthropoda; Arachnida; Scorpiones; Buthidae. The record is from RNAcentral.
AGCGCCCCAAAUAUAGCUAAAAUCAGUUCGAAAGUUCUAGGCACCAAAAAAAUUUUUUUUGUAGGCCUGUGUUAUAAAAUUAAACCAAAGUAGCUUAUGCAAUGGUAAUAAUUAUAGCAACAGCAGUAUUACAUAAGAUAGCAAGGCUGACUAAUGAUGAUGAUCCAUCAGAGGACGUUACCUUACAUCAUUUCUUAAGUGAAAAACGCUCAUUAAAUCCUCAGUAUAGUGUAUAUGAAGAUAUACCUGUGAUCACUACUGGAAGUGGAACUAUUGCAACAACUAGAGUGAGAGAAAAUAUUAUAAUAAAUCAUUUUACAUACUAAACAGGAAUUAUUUUUAUAAACAGUUUGUUGUAUCUGUCA